CAGUGGCACUGGCGUUCCUAAUUCUUAGGAGCCUUCUGAAAACCUCACCUAAAGUGCUGUGUGUUCAUGCUAGGCCGAUCACACCAAAAUGUUUGUUUCUAGAUUGGAGCCAAGAUCUGCUACUGGAAGUCUUCAGCAUGUAAUGAUGACAGAAAAUUAGUCAUCACAAUGGAUCCAUGUUUAAGGAUCUAUUUUGAAUUGCUGGCUAAGCGAUCAGCUGCCACCAUGAGGAUUCAACAUACAGUAUCUUCAGUACCACAACGGCUCUUGAAUUCCACCUCCUGGAGCCACCCCUCUGGACAGCAGGACAGCCCCCAAACUGCCAGUGACCUCACUUGGUCCCGGCAGCUCUACUUUAACCAGCACCUUUCCCUUGAGUUGGUCUCAUAGCCGGAGUCAGUUUUCAUGGGGAGACUCUGCUUUUCAGGAUAACGGCAAGUUAGAAAACACAGGACAGGACUUGAAAUGCCUGGAUCAUGACUCCCAUUGAAAAUCUGCCCAGAUACAGCCCUGCUGUAGUGAUCUGCCUAUGGGACAUACCCUGGCCUGCUUCCCCCCCGAAAGUGAUGACGUAUGUGGUAGUGUUCUCUGUAAGAAUAAAAGAGUCUAUUUACCCUGUA
Long non-coding RNA from Caretta caretta (loggerhead turtle), 620 nucleotides. RefSeq lists it as uncharacterized. The record is from RefSeq and is a predicted model, not a curated record. Lineage: Eukaryota; Metazoa; Chordata; Testudines; Cheloniidae.